CGCUAGGAAGCUAUGUCGUGAAACCAGCGUUAGCCUUUUAAGCUAAAGAUAGGUGGCUCUCAACCACCCCUACCGA
This 76-nucleotide transfer RNA is filed under the name Scombrolabrax heterolepis. RNAcentral's name for it is "tRNA-Lys". Lineage: Eukaryota; Metazoa; Chordata; Actinopteri; Scombriformes; Scombrolabracidae. The record is from RNAcentral.